Triticum aestivum (bread wheat) is the source of this 5638-nucleotide long non-coding RNA. RefSeq lists it as uncharacterized. Lineage: Eukaryota; Viridiplantae; Streptophyta; Magnoliopsida; Poales; Poaceae. The transcript has 4 exons. The record is from RefSeq and is a predicted model, not a curated record.
CCCGCUCCGCCGCCGCCCCUACUGCUCCACCGGACUGACCUCUUCUUUGAGCGCGGCGACAGGAGCAGCUCCACCUCCAUUCCCCCACGUGAUAACGCUCCAGACCCCUACCCCAUGCCCAGCCGCCGCUAGGGUUUCUACCUUCGCUUCCCCUAUCUCCUCACUUUCCCCACCGCCGCCCCACUGUGCCCCCUCUCAUAUUUCGAUCUGGAAAACGGGAAGGAGACGAUGAGCAGAGCUCCGAGCGCAAUGAGCGGUCAAAUCCGUGGCGGGCGGUGCCUCCCCAAGCUCCCGUCAGGGCGAGGCACUGAAGGCCGCCACCCUUCCCUCUAACGUGCAUCGCGGUUCUGGAUCGACCGCCGGCAUGCUCGAGGUGCAGCCUUUCCCCUUCCCCUAUCUCCUCUCUCUCUCACUCCUACCGUCUUGGUUUCCUGAGUUCUUGCUGCUUGCGGUUGCGGAGUGGGCAUGGAGGGAGUGGUGUUGGGGCUAGAAGGGAAGGGAGUGGAUCGGCCGCCGGCAUGCUUGCAGCCGUGCCAUCCGUGUCCCUCCACCGAUUCCCUGCAUCGGCCACGUCCAGGUCCUCCAGAUCCUAAUUAUGAUAUGACAUCUGAUUUUGCACAUGUACAUACCAACGUUGAUUUUGUACACUAUUAAUUAAGGGAAAUCAAAGUCAGAAGAACUGAAAAUACUAUGCACUGUUGGAUCCCCUCCUCUCCCUCCCUGACUUGCCGUGAAUCUUGUGCUGUGAGAGCUGCUCCUGUCCCUUCCCUGGCCGCCAUGGAUCUCGCCAGGCCCCAUCGGAGGAAGCCCGACAUCCCCAAGCUUGAUGGGCUUGCCAGCGGACUGGUCGAGGUCCUUGCCAUGGCCCCCGAGCUCCACAACUUCGCACGUGACCACUCUGGCUAGGCGGUGUAUACAGGCUGGUGCAUUGCACUGGGUGAAGGGUGCAAAUCAUGUUCCUGAGAGCAUCCAAAACAUAUGGGAGGUGCUGCCUGGAGCUGUGGGAGGACCGCGUCAUGAGACCUCGGUGACUGUGGACAUGGUAACCAACUAGACUCACACCUAACUUGAAUUUUCCUUCUGCUGAUUUGGUGUUAGUUCAGGUCCAGGGAAGGUGCUAAUGGAGAGUUGGAGGGUGAAUGGGAGAGGUGAUAGCUAAUUAUGGUUUGACUUUAGUAAUUAUAUUUGGUUUCCUUGUCCAUUGCCAUUUUGUUGUGCUAAAUGUAGUAUAUGAUCUAGAGGAUAUUUAGGUAUCAGAUUAGUAACAGUGCAGUAGCAUCAGACACUUGGUGUUUUCUCAUGUGAUAUAUCUAAGUGGUAAUCAGUUGUACAACUAGACAUAUGCAAAUGUCCAUAGUAAUAAACUUGUGGUCACAAAACUGCUGCUUAAAGUUUGUUCAAUUAUGGAAAUGGACAUUUUAGUUCUGCUCCUUAAUUUUGUUCAAUUAUGUAAACGCAUGGGCACGUGAUGCCGUUUCCUUACCUCACAAAACCAAACUGAAGGCAUCCACUUCUGGUGGAAAUAACUGAUCACGUGUAUUGCCAUUUUUACAGAACAAUUUAUUCUCCUGCUCUCUAGAGAUCUGAUCAUAACUAUCUUGCUCGAUUUGAUGUUGUUAUGUUUGUUACACUGUCUUGGUAGAUAUAGAUAUUAAGGAGAGGCACUCCAAGAGAUCAUGUGUAAGUACAAUUGAGUUGUGAGUUUUCUUUUCUAUACCAUUGAUAUAAUUUUAAUAUUUAUGAUGAUUGCAUAUGGAUAUAUAGCUAUUUUGUUUACCUUGGGAAUAGUACCAAUCUUAGAACAUGUUCCUAAUUCAGGUAAAACUAUGGAAAAUGAAUGGGUAGAUAGUUUUUGAGAUUUGGUCCUUCUAUUGACCAAUCGUAUAGGUUAUGAUCCUAUAGAGUUAGAGUUGUUAAUUCUGUUAUUAUUGGUGGAGUUAAAACCUUCAGACAGCUAACGGCCUUAUCAUCAUGUUUUAGUAUUGAACUGCAGAAUACUGGAGCCGUAGUUUCCGCCUCAUGCUUUCUCUAUUGUAAGGAGGAUAGCCGGGGCGCGGUGCAAGGAUAGCCGCCGCUUCAUCCGAGGAUGCGCCUGCUGACGGAUGUUGCGUCGAGUCCAUGACGGACCUCUUUGUGCAAGGCAUCACCUCCCCCCUUCAUCUCUUCUCUAUUCAGCCCAGUCGGAGUGAGCAUGCACGUGCAUUCCUACAUACUGAAAUGGUCGUGCCCGUGCGUCUCCAAGGUUGAACAAAUAUGGUUUUGUUUAACUGGUGGCUAGCUUUUUCUUACUAAUGGAACCUGCAGCUCGGAACACACUGCACCCAGGUGAUGGGAAGUCCGGAGCAACUAUCGAUGCAGGAGAUGAUCAGCUGUUCUGCACUGGAUUAGGGAGAUUAGUGUUUACCAGUGAGAGGGCUAUAAGGAGGGCCAGGGUGUUGGUCAGGGAGGAGUUGUAGAAGACUGGUAUCAAGUGAAGUGGGAGCUUAUGUGACCAACUUUUGGCUUGCAGUAGUCAAACUGUUCCAUUGUUCGUUUCUGUAUGUAUUGUAAUGGGAUAGUGGGAUGACCAGUAACCGUUUGACGACAUGCCUGAUGCAAAGGGAGAAUCGAGAGAAAUGGACCCUCCAUUUAGAUAUACGACUUGCUUUCGCCCUUUUCUCUGCAGAGUCAAGAUUGAAUGUUGCAACAAUAGCCAGAAACUGUUCAGGUUUGAUAAUUGUACCAACUAUAUUUUCUUGAGGUUGUGUGUUACUGAUUCAGUUUUCCUCUUGUAAAAUUUAGGCAGAGUGUGUAUAGUACCAUGGCCUAGUGUUCCAAACUGGAUGAGGAAAAGUGGUCUUGUUGGGCAAUGCUUCAAUGCACAAGGCAUGAGCUAUUUUAGGAGGUAGGAAGCUUAACACCUGUUUAUAUGAUUGUUGUAUGCUUAAAUUUAUGAAUUAGUUUGAUUCUGCUAUUCAUUUUCUGCAGAAACUAGAUGAUACUUGUAAUUAUUGUACCAGAAAAAAGAUUAUCAUUGUAUUUCUGCAACAGAAAACUUAUUGUUGUGAUUGUUUGAUACCUUACUUGAGGCGUUUAUCAGUUUGUGGAGCAAAGGUAACAUAUGCCUUGUCACGAGUUUUCCACAUGGUUUCAAAGAUGUUACAUUCAGUUUCUAACUUUCUAAUAGCAUUACUUGGGUUUGACAUUUCUUGUCACGGUUAGACUUCGGUCAGGUUUCACUAAUAUUUUUGGCUCCGUCAUGCAGCUGGAGGGAGAUGGUAUACUGACGAUUAUUGAGAGUUAUUGGAUUAUCGAGAGUUAGUAUUGUAAUAGAUCCGCUUCAGGAGCUAAAAUUAGGGAUGCAACAGAUCCGCUUAGGGAUGCAACAGAAUAGAGCACGGGAAGCACAUGUUUUCCAGCAAAACAAGGGCAAUCAUUUUUACUGACAAUUGCUUCACCAUCCAUUGGUCGAUCCAUGGUCGUUGGUACAGCUAACACGCAGAUCAGAUGUAUAUUCCAGUUAGCAAUCAUGUAGAACCAGGUUAGCUACUGGUUCGAUGAUCCUACUGUUUGAUUCUUUGCUCAGUUCAGAAAGUUGCUCUGAAUUAGAGGUUUGUAGUUGCCACACGGAAAGCAACACCUUCUACUUUAGUUGAGUUCCCAUGAUCACAGCGGAAUUCGAUCGCGGAUUGAUUUACCACAACACUCUGUGGAAUAAAACAGUAUCUAGACGAACACUUGCCACUUUCUAGGAUGUGUGUCUAUAGCAUCUAAAACAAAGUCCUACUAAUGUGCUUAUUGUAUCGAUGAAAUGACAAAUGUAGUUAUGUUUACUAAUCAAAUUACUUGGAUUCUUUUGCUGGUUAACUGUAAUGUUUUCAUGCUAUAUUUCUAAUUCAUAAGUUAGGAUUAUGCCAAUGGAGAUGAUGGAUCCACUCCUAUAGUUGAUCAGAUUAGCAAGUACGAGUUGAGGAGGGAUAGUUCGACUGGAGGGCUGUUGGAAUCUCCAUGUGUUCUAUACCUCGCGAUUGUUAGACUAUUCUACAAAGGUUUGAAGCUAAUCUUGUUGGGGGAUGUGAGAGAUUUUCUACACAAAAGGGGACCUAAAGCUGUUGAACCGAUCACUACUACAAGGCUCAUACAGGUUAUGGCUCAUUCAAAUAUCACAUGUGUUUCUUUCCCCAAAUUCUCAGAUGCCAUUGUUCCAUUGACCUGAUUCUGAUUGUUUGCAGAAUAAAAACAUGUUUGAAAUUAUGUUCAUCAACUGAGAGAUGUUUCCAAUGUGCCAUCAUAAGAUGCGCAACUCAACAUUUGAGGUUUCUUACUCAUAGGAUUAUCACAUCUUGAAUUCUGGUUCUUAGUUUUGGGUUCUAACCCUUAUUUGCUUGUCUUGUCUAUUGUUCUUACGGGUUUCAAUCUUCAGUGCACAUCUUCUGUAGGAAAUCUUGUACUUAAAAUUUAGAAAAAUGUCGACAUGUCACAGGAGCUAAAUUAACAACGUUGCUGUAAUGCUUGUAUGGCAGCCUUUCCCAUAAUCCGUUCAAUUACAGAGUUUAUAAUUAUGUGAAUGAAGUAAGGGAUCCGAGAAAAAAAGGUAAUAGUGCUUUACUUCCCAGGCAGAUUUGACAUAUCCUCGUUUACUUCUCUCUUCUGUUCUGACUAACUCCUUAAAUCAUCAGCAUGUGUGUAUACUUAUUCCUGCCCAUGUUUAUGUCAAGGAGCAUCACCUUAUGUGUUUAAGGAAUGCCCUUGAUUGUAUUAUCAUUAUUAUCUGUCACAAAUUUGGAUUCAGAAUUCUUUUAGUCGGGGAUUAUCUUGGAUUGAGAGCUGCCGCACUGAGCGUAGGUAGAUUGAAAGAGAUCGAUAUUGAAAAUAGAUGGCUUCAUUAUGCAAUUGACUGAAAACAAUUGUACCUUCAUCUCGAGCUACUAAAUUGAUGCUCCUUCAUUACAAUUCUAUCACAUUAUUUCACCAUAUGCUUCCGUAAUAGGUAUCUUCAACCUGAAUUUGAUCGUACACUUUUCUCCCUUAUUGUUAAAAUCAUCGCCACUAAAGUUUUCAGGUGUUGCUUUUCAAGUUGCUAAUUAUCGAUGAAUUCAAAUUUUAUGCAGCCCCGCCAUCUACAAUAUGGCAUUCAGAUGGUGAUCUGAAACUUAAAAUGGAGCAAAUGGCCAUGGGCUCUAAUAAAUAUGAGGUUUUCUAUCUCAAGAUACCUCAGCUGCAGCGAAAGACAAUGGAGCCAUGGGUGUCGGGGCGGGCACUGGUGGUCGGCGGAAGGCGUUGUGGAGGUGCUCGCUACUACCCAGCUUCACUUGGACGCCACCAGGUUCAGCCUUGGCAUGGACCUGUGCGCCGCUGCCUUUGUAGCUGCUCCCAGCUGCUGAGUAGCCGCCGUCCAGGAAGAGUGAUUAUUGUGGCCGGUGCUACUGAGGAUUAUGUGUUCCCACUUGCCACCCAGGAUCAUGUGUUUGCCACCCAUUAUAGGGCGCCCAUGUCGCUGCAACACCGUCGUCUCUGUCGUGAGGCUCGUGGGAGAUUAAUUAGGGCAGGAACUAACCAUCUUAUCAUCUGUUAUAUGGCCUAUAAGACUUUUUUGUGCUAAUGAACAACAGAUACAUUCCGGUGCUCUUCUAUCCUAGACACAGAGUUUUUAAAUGCA